CUUUAAGUCCAAGAAUUAAACCAACAAAGAUUAUAAUUAACUAAAAGAUAUGUUGAUAAAUAAACUGAACAGCAAGAGGAGUAUCACUUGAUUCUUGGAUGUUUCAUUAUCCUUCAAAACAUUCCUUGGUCAAUCAGCUCGUGACACUUGGCAUUGGUAGAUAAUUAUUAUAAAAGAAACACAAAAAAAUACAAAGGGAGAGUAAUUAAAAACAAAAAGACAAAAAAGUGAGAGGAUUCAAUCCAUCUUCCUUCCUCUCGUGAGAUCCAUCCUCCUCACUCUCGUGGGAUUCUCUCUCUUUUUCACGUUAAAAUUUUCCUCCCCUGUUCUCUCAACUCAAACCUCCCUUCAUCUUUCACGAUUCAAUGAAACAAACAACCACAAAUUGGCACGGAUAGGGCGUAAGAACAAACAUCAAACAUAGAGCAAAAGCAAUCAAAUCACAGAGAUACAAAUGAGUAAAUAGCAUUUGACAGUACCGAAUCGGAGUUGAAGGAUGCGUCGAGUCCGUUGUUGGAAGGGAGUUAUUCGCCGGAUCCAGAGGAGGUCGCCGCUGCUAUGCUUGAACGACGAUGUUGUGGAGGUCGGUGUUCGAAACAGUCACGGCGGAGGUUCGUGCGUGAUUGCGACGCGUCGGAGGUGGAGCUUUUACGAUUGAAAUAAAUUAGUAGCCAUGAAUUGAAGCUGAAUUUUGCCGUGGAUUUCUGAGCGUCGUGAUAGUUGUUGUUUUGUGAAGUUCAUGUAGAUUGGAGGAGCGAUCGAUGUUUUCCAGAUUCUGAUCUGUGGCGGCGAGUUCAUGGUUGCGUGAACAGGGGCUUCGAGAUUUGUGUUGUUUGCUGAACUGUUGGUGUAAAUCAUGGUUGAGAUUGUUGUUUGUUGAUGUUGCAUUGUGAAGCGAUUCGGCUUUGACUCUACUUUAUGUCUGAUUGUUCUGAUUUGAUGGUUGGCCUGCUGUUGUUGAUGUUGAGGCUGCCGGAGUUCAAACUGUUGCUGAGACAUCAUUCGCGGAUGCUGCGUUUUUUUUCUGUUCUUCUCUGACUCAUGAUAAUUUCGUUGAAUCAAAUGUUAAUGAAAUCAACAAAAAUAAGAAGAUUAGGACAAUAGUAGAAUAGUACAAUGUUACCAGUGGUAUAAUUGAACAUGUAAAAAUUAUAAGGAAAACUUGUGGAAUGUGAUGUACUAAGUGAAUGAAAGGUGGUUUGUAAGAA
Molecule: long non-coding RNA, 1208 nt
Organism: Vicia villosa (hairy vetch)
Lineage: Eukaryota; Viridiplantae; Streptophyta; Magnoliopsida; Fabales; Fabaceae
Exons: 2
Source: RefSeq, a predicted model, not a curated record